GACGAACGCUGGCGGCGUGCUUAACACAUGCCAGUCGAACGAAGAGCGAUGGAAGCUUGCUUCUAUCAAUCUUAGUGGCGAACGGGUGAGUAACGCGUAAUCAACCUGCCCUUCAGAGGGGGACAACAGUUGGAAACGACUGCUAAUACCGCAUACGAUCUAAUCUCGGCAUCGAGGAUAGAUGAAAGGUGGCCUCUACAUGUAAGCUAUCACUGAAGGAGGGGAUUGCGUCUGAUUAGCUAGUUGGAGGGGUAACGGCCCACCAAGGCGAUGAUCAGUAGCCGGUCUGAGAGGAUGAACGGCCACAUUGGGACUGAGACACGGCCCAGACUCCUACGGGAGGCAGCAGUGGGGAAUCUUCCGCAAUGGACGAAAGUCUGACGAAGCAACGCCGCGUGAGUGAUGACGGCCUUCGGGUUGUAAAGCUCUGUUAAUCGGGACGAAAGGCCUUCUUGCGAAUAGUGAGAAGGAUUGACGGUACCGGAAUAGAAAGCCACGGCUAACUACGUG
Molecule: ribosomal RNA, 510 nt
Filed under: uncultured bacterium
Lineage: Bacteria
Description: partial 16S ribosomal RNA
Rfam family: Bacterial small subunit ribosomal RNA
Source: RNAcentral